AGUGAACGCUGGCGGCAGGCCUAACACAUGCAAGUCGAGCGGCAGCGGGUCCUUCGGGAUGCCGGCGAGCGGCGGACGGGUGAGGAAUGCAUCGGAAUCUGCCCUGUCGUGGGGGAUAACCUAGGGAAACUUAGGCUAAUACCGCAUACGACCCACGGGUGAAAGCGGGGGAUCGCAAGACCUCGCGCGAUAGGAUGAGCCGAUGUCCGAUUAGCUAGUUGGCGGGGUAAAGGCCCACCAAGGCGACGAUCGGUAGCUGGUCUGAGAGGAUGAUCAGUCACACUGGGACUGAGACACGGCCCAGACUCCUACGGGAGGCAGCAGUGGGGAAUAUUGGACAAUGGGCGCAAGCCUGAUCCAGCCAUGCCGCGUGGGUGAAGAAGGCCUUCGGGUUGUAAAGCCCUUUUGUCCGGGAAGAAAUCGUCUGGGCUAAUACCCCGGGCGGAUGACGGUACCGGAAGAAUAAGCACCGGCUAACUUCGUG
RNAcentral lists this ribosomal RNA (484 nucleotides) under uncultured bacterium. RNAcentral's name for it is "partial 16S ribosomal RNA". It matches the Rfam family "Bacterial small subunit ribosomal RNA", at positions 30 to 507 of the family's 1533-position model. The record is from RNAcentral.